GAUGAACGCUAGCGGGAGGCUUAACACAUGCAAGUCGUGGGGCAGCAUAGGGUAGCAAUACUCUGAUGGCGACCGGCGCACGGGUGAGUAACGCGUAUGCAACCUACCCUGUACAGGGGGAUAGCCCGGAGAAAUUCGGAUUAAUACCCCAUAAAGAUAUUGAGAGGCAUCUUUUGAUAUUUAAAGCUUCGGCGGUACGGGAUGGGCAUGCGUAACAUUAGCUAGUUGGUUAGGGUAACGGCCUACCAAGGCUACGAUGUUUAGGGGUCCUGAGAGGGUGAUCCCCCACACUGGUACUGAGACACGGACCAGACUCCUACGGGAGGCUG
This 329-nucleotide ribosomal RNA is filed under the name uncultured Bacteroidota bacterium. Its description in RNAcentral is "bacterial SSU rRNA". It matches the Rfam family "Bacterial small subunit ribosomal RNA", at positions 28 to 351 of the family's 1533-position model. Lineage: Bacteria; Pseudomonadati; Bacteroidota. The record is from RNAcentral.